AGGGAUUUAGCUUAGCGGCUUAAGUGCCUGCCUGGUAAGCAUGAGGUCAUGAGUUUAAUCCUUG
This 64-nucleotide transfer RNA is filed under the name Cavia porcellus (domestic guinea pig). It matches the Rfam family "tRNA". Rfam says of the family: Transfer RNA (tRNA) molecules are approximately 80 nucleotides in length. The record is from Rfam by way of RNAcentral. Lineage: Eukaryota; Metazoa; Chordata; Mammalia; Rodentia; Caviidae.